This 253-nucleotide ribosomal RNA is filed under the name uncultured bacterium. Its description in RNAcentral is "partial 16S ribosomal RNA". It matches the Rfam family "Bacterial small subunit ribosomal RNA", at positions 524 to 776 of the family's 1533-position model. The record is from RNAcentral.
UACGGAGGGGGCAAGCGUUGUUCGGAAUUACUGGGCGUAAAGGGCUCGUAGGCGGCCAACUAAGUCAGACGUGAAAUCCCUCGGCUUAACCGGGGAACUGCAUCUGAUACUGGAUGGCUUGAGAUUGGGAGAGGGAUGCGGAAUUCCAGGUGUAGCGGUGAAAUGCGUAGAUAUCUGGAGGAACACCGGUGGCGAAGGCGGCAUCCUGGACCAACACUGACGCUGAGGAGCGAAAGCCAGGGGAGCAAACGGG